GAAAACGUCAAAGAAAUGUGGACAGAAGUACCUAAGACAGGAAAGGAAAGAAAAAGUCCAAACCAGUGAACAAAGACAGAUACAUCUCCAAAAUGUUCCUCCGAGGGGACUCUGUGAUUCUCAUUCUUAGAAAUCCAAUGGCAACUGCCAAGUAGGGUGGGGAAGAAACUGUUAAGUAGGGGGAGGGGUAGGGGAGAAAGUGUGUAAAGUAGGCAGGGAUUGUACAAAGCAGAUUUGUACCUGUGUUAAAAAGGGUCAGUGGAUGCACCCAAUGUAAGCGAGGUUGAGAUGAAUUUACAGCUGACAUUGUGUAGACAAUGCCGGCUGAAGGUCUAACCCUUGCUCUGAUAUCUAACGAGGGGAUGGGAAAUAGUAAUUAUUGUAUUUUAUUAUUUUCUGAUCUCUUGCAAUUUUUGAUGAUCAGUUAAUGUUUUGUAUACAUGUUGCGAUGGUUUUAUAUAAUUUUGUCAUUUAUUGUCUUGUACAUGUGUAUAACACGAGAGAAGUUCAUCUUUCAUUUAUUGUCAUUAAAUCAUGAAACACUUUUA
Saccostrea cuccullata (small rock oyster) is the source of this 548-nucleotide long non-coding RNA. RefSeq lists it as uncharacterized. Lineage: Eukaryota; Metazoa; Mollusca; Bivalvia; Ostreida; Ostreidae. The record is from RefSeq and is a predicted model, not a curated record. The transcript has 2 exons.